Molecule: long non-coding RNA, 976 nt
Organism: Micropterus dolomieu (smallmouth bass)
Lineage: Eukaryota; Metazoa; Chordata; Actinopteri; Centrarchiformes; Centrarchidae
Exons: 2
Source: RefSeq, a predicted model, not a curated record
UAUCCUUUUUUGGACACUGGGGGGAGCAGUGGGCAGCCACUGUACAGCGCCCGGGGACCAGAUUGAAUGCAGUGUCUGGUCAAACAGCACUGACUGAAGAACCUACCUAACAUGUUUUUUUUUUUGAUGGUGGGUGAAACCGGGGCACCUGGAGGAAACCCAUGCAGACACAGGGAGAACAUGCAAACUGCACACAGAAAGGCUGAGACAACCGGGUUUUGAACCCAGAACCUUCUUGCUGUGAGGCCACCGUGCUGCCCUAUUAGCAAACCUGUUAGCAAACAGUUCCUUAUGUCAGCCAGCAUAUACAGAGCAACAUUAUCAUCCCAUCACUGUGUUUCUGGACACCCAAUGAAGAGUUUCUGGCCUCUUGAUGAAGACAAGAAGAACAACAAAAAAAAGAAUAAACCUGUGGAUGAACUUGAGGUUGUUGGUGACGCUUCCCGUUAAGCUCACUCUCAUUGGCUGAUGCGGGUUUCUACUCAAUGUUCCAUUGCUGUUCCUUUCACAUUCGGGGAUUUGAAAUUGCAAAUAUCAAACAUGUUUGAUACUGGGGCCAGCAUUAGUAAUCAAAUCCUGAAAGAAAUAUCUUACUGCUAGAUGUUCUACUUUCUGUGCCAGGUAGUUGAUAAAUAUGUCUUCUGUUUACUAAAAAGGUUUUAAAAUGUUUCGGCUGCAGAGUUGGGUUAUAACGUGCUGUACUAUGAAUACUAUGUACCUUUGACAUAAAAAAAAAGAAAUAAAAACAAUUUCAGAAAGAAGGUUUAAAAAUAGGAACACAGAGAUGUCAUACCAAAUCUGGAGAUGACCAGAUCAAUAGUCUAAGAGGAAUUCAGAAACAAAACUGAUUUAAAAGAAAUCUAAAUAGCCUAAAGUUGAACAUACAUGUAGUCAUCAACUUCAGUACCAAUAAGUUACUUUUAGAUACAUGACUGCUGUUAUAACUGCAAUAAACUAUUUCAUGUUAACGUCUUAA